This 239-nucleotide ribosomal RNA is filed under the name uncultured bacterium. RNAcentral describes it as "partial 16S ribosomal RNA". It matches the Rfam family "Bacterial small subunit ribosomal RNA", at positions 338 to 594 of the family's 1533-position model. The record is from RNAcentral.
CCUACGGGAGGCAGCAGUGGGGGAUAUUGCACAAUGGGGGAAACCCUGAUGCAGCGACGCCGCGUGAGCGAUGAAGUAUUUCGGUAUGUAAAGAUCUAUCAGCAGGGAAGAAAAAGACGGUACCUGACUAAGAAGCCCCGGCUAACUACGUGCCAGCAGCCGCGGUAAUACGUAGGGGGCAAGCGUUAUCCGGAAUGAUUGGGCGUAAAGGGUGCGCAGGCGGUACUGCAAGUCUGGAG